Non-coding RNA from Parelaphostrongylus tenuis, 75 nucleotides. NCBI's taxonomy places the organism in Eukaryota, Metazoa, Nematoda, Chromadorea, Rhabditida, Metastrongylidae. The record is from the annotation of a GenBank genome assembly.
AGGCCAGUAGUGCAAAGGGUUAGAGCACGUGCUCCCGGAUAGAGUAAGAUGUGGGUUCAAGUCCCGCCUGGCGCA